CAGCAUUGUUUAAACAUUUCUGUGUUUUUCUUGCAUCAUGAUGAAAUCAUACUGAAUUACCUGCUGCAGGUUUUCUGCAAGUCAUUCACCAAAGGGUCACGAGGUCACAAGUGCAGUCUGUGAGCAUAUUUUCCUUUGGUUCUUUCAAUUUCAUUGUAGGUCUUUUUUUGCUUGUCCAACAUUUUUACUAACACUUCCCUAAUUUUUCUUGCCCGAGUCCUGCACCUUUCUAUCAGUCUUUAUUUAUUUUUUAUUUUUCUAGUAAAAGAUCAAACAUUUUAAUGGCUACAAGAAGGAAGAAAUAAAAAUGUGUGUGGCAGGUUGUGGUUCUGUUGGUUACUGCCCAAGAAAUUCCAAGUUUCAGUUUUCAGAAUUUAAUGAUUGGACUUGUUUUCCAGCUUAAUAACUUAUACCUCAGCCUCCUGAUCGGUUAUGGGGUUUCAUAGGGUUAAUGUAAUGUAAAUCACUGGAGCUAUUAGUUUUGUAUGUUCUACUAAAUAGUAGAGUCAGAUAAUUCAUUUUUUAAUUUCCUCAUAUUGUUUUUAGAUCGUACAGGCCGAGAAUGAUCUACAGCUGCAAGAUGCAGUUGCACAGGCAGCCAGCUUGAUCAGUCUUGCUGGUCACAAUGUUUGCAUAACACUUCAAAACAAACAAGAAACUGCUCACUGGUUCAGAGAUGGCUUGAGGUCUGUAGCUCUCCUAGAUGCUCUACAGACAUACCCUCUUCAGAUGAAGUGUCUUUUCGUGAAAGCUGGAAUGGCUCUGAGAGCAACUGAUAGGGAGAAUCUAUUCCAGAUCAUUCACUCCGAUCGAGGGAGUAAUGCACUACGAGUGCCGGACUCUGGCUUUCUGGCAAGACUAUCUUCAGGAGGCAGAAUUUGAAAGUGAUGUCUCUUUGGAAGAUAUUCUUGUUUUCUGCACUGGAUGUGACAGCAUACCAGCCCUGGGUUUCUCUCCAAAGCCAAGCCUUGAGUUCGUCACUAACUGCAGAUUUCCAGUGGCCAAUACUUGUGAAAAUAUCCUUUGUAUACCAGUUCAUGCAGUCUACACUACUUUCAAAUCAGACAUGGAUUUUGCAAUACGGAAUUCACCAGGAUUUGGAAGAGCAUGAUGUGUUUUCUUAAGGAUUGGUGACAUGAUGAGGAUUUGGUUUUUUUUUUCUAUUUUGCAUAUGCAUUUUUUAUUUUCCUUUUUUUGUUAAUGUUGUUAACCCGCAUCAGAGUACACCCUGGACAGCAGUAGGACUGUAUAGCCUAAAUAAGCUUCAUGUGUGUCUUUCAAAUUACAGCUUAAAUACCAGUUCAUGCAGUGUACACUACUUUCAAAUCAGACAUGGAUUUGAUAAGCCGAAGAGAAUGGAUGGAAUAAUUUUGUUUCAGUUUAUACAUGUGAGGCAUUUUUUGUUUUGUGAUUGUAGUUAAUUAGUUUUCCUGCUUAUAUGGCAUGUUUUGUCUCUGAUAUGUAGUUCUAAAUAAAUUCAAACGGCAUUUAGGACGUUUUU
Molecule: non-coding RNA, 1501 nt
Organism: Maylandia zebra (zebra mbuna)
Lineage: Eukaryota; Metazoa; Chordata; Actinopteri; Cichliformes; Cichlidae
Source: RefSeq, a predicted model, not a curated record